This 301-nucleotide ribosomal RNA is filed under the name uncultured bacterium. RNAcentral describes it as "partial 16S ribosomal RNA". It matches the Rfam family "Bacterial small subunit ribosomal RNA", at positions 509 to 809 of the family's 1533-position model. The record is from RNAcentral.
CAGCCGCCGCGGGAAUACGAAGGGGGCUAGCGUUGUUCGGAAUUACUGGGCGUAAAGGGCGCGUAGGCGGCCAUUCAAGUUAGAUGUGAAAGCCCUGGGCUCAACCUAGGAAUUGCAUUUGAUACUGUUUGGCUUGAGUUCGGGAGAGGUGAGUGGAAUUCCCAGUGUAGAGGUGAAAUUCGUAGAUAUUGGGAAGAACACCAGUGGCGAAGGCGGCUCACUGGACCGACACUGGCGCUGAGGCGCGAAAGCGUGGGGAGCAAACAGGAUUAGAUACCCCGGUAGUCCCUGUCUCUUAUAA